CCAGGAUGUCCUGCUUGUGACGUUCUUCGACGACGAGGCCGAUGAAGAUCCCGUCGUAAGGCGUUCCUCGAAGGCUGUGGGAGCCUCUGGUGGUCAGCAACUCAGCCCAGGAUUCGGGUGGGAUCAGCCUGGUCUUGGAUUGGUUUUCUGGCAGAUGGCAUGAACAGCAGGGGCCCAGAGGGUGGCAGUAGUGUCUGGUGUGUAUCAGAUGAAAGCAACUCCAAAAGAAUCUUUCCCUGACAUGAAUUAUUUAUCUAUUAAUUUAAGAUACACGUCCACUUCCUCUUAUUUUAAAGAACUGUUCCUCAGCUGACCUUCUGACCUUCGAAAGCUCAUUAGCUGUGGCUCGGAUGUGACCUACUUGUCGACGAUGUAUUUGAUGUUGUCAUGCACGCUGAGGUCUGUCCGCUCUCGGUAAGGCUGGAUGUGGAACGCCACCUAGAGACACAACACAGGUUGAGGAGAAACUUUGAAUUGGUAAACAUCAUGCAACAAAAAAUGUCUCCAAGCAGAUUGGGUUUCUGUAGCUGGACACAUGAGUGCUAGACACUGCUAGCUAUAGUAGGUCAAGGCAACUGUACAAUCGCACAACAGCAUGGCUGAAGGUGAACACAAAAAGUGCUGCGUGAAAGAAGAACAACGGAGAAACAAGCGUGGAUUUCGUUUAAUAUAAAUCUUUUAUUUUUAAUAUUUUGGAAUAAAAUCUUAAUAAUUUA
Molecule: long non-coding RNA, 716 nt
Organism: Silurus meridionalis
Lineage: Eukaryota; Metazoa; Chordata; Actinopteri; Siluriformes; Siluridae
Exons: 2
Source: RefSeq, a predicted model, not a curated record